GUGCAAUGAGGUCUGAGCUGCUCUGGAGAAUGAAACAGCUGAAGUGAAACCUGAAGCAACUGGUUGAAAACUUCACCAUUAAGAGGGGCAGUGGAUCUACGUUACCACCCAUGUGCAUCAUUCCUUGUGAAUUGCGUGCACAUGCAAGGGGGUGAAGGCGAGUGCAGGACGCAGGAUCUGGCCAGGGAGCAGAUGCUGCUUGUGCAUUUGAUGGAGCUACAAACUUCCCUGGAAGACAGAGUACAAACUUUACUCAGAGAAUAAAGCGUAACCCUAAUCUCUCCUAUAUACAACGCCGAGGCCAUCCACUCCAGUUAGUGCUAGUGUGAGCUGCAGAAUCUUCAAAAGACAUUAAAAAGCCAUAAAUGUAAUGGCUUUUUUAUACGCUUUUUUCAGCAAGAGUCCAAAAGGACUGAAUGUCUUGGAAACAAAUAGAAAAUACUCUUGGACUGAAGUUCAAGUUCGUCCAACCUUGGAAAAACCUCUGGCUUUCUCAUGAGCAAUUCUUGGCUGUUGUCUUAAAAUUACUGCAAUCAUUAUUACUGGCUUUGGAAGGUAUGCACCAAGAUAGGACAGAUCUAAGUAGUGAGGCUGGUCGAUUACUAAGUUCAGAGAAGACAAUUGCCAUUCUCUCUCUUGUAAA
Chelonoidis abingdonii (Abingdon island giant tortoise) is the source of this 643-nucleotide non-coding RNA. The record is from RefSeq and is a predicted model, not a curated record. Lineage: Eukaryota; Metazoa; Chordata; Testudines; Testudinidae.